Molecule: long non-coding RNA, 2986 nt
Filed under: Vulpes vulpes (red fox)
Lineage: Eukaryota; Metazoa; Chordata; Mammalia; Carnivora; Canidae
Description: lncRNA (ENSVVUG00000018102.1)
Source: RNAcentral
AAUAAACUAAAAAUAAAUGAUGUUUUACGCAGGGGAACUCCUCUGCCAAGCAUAUCUCCUGGUUACUGUUGGCUUUAUUUAAAGGGAACCACAGCUAGGAGUUAUUAGCUGUACAUAUGAAAACACAGCUUGAAGGUACUUAAACAUCUGUGCAAUGGGCCUGCAUGUAGGGUAUGAUGGAGUUUUAUAAACAUCGAGGUAAUUACGCCCUUCUCGAGAAUGGCAGCAUUUCCCUGCUGGCAGGAUUUCUAGCAGGCUUCUCGGAGCUGUGGCAUAUACAAGCCUCAGUUCUACCUCCCAAAAUGCUAAGAUGUAACCCUUUGAAGGCAAAGGAUACAAAGGAGAGGACCCUGGGUGACUCAGUGGGUUAAGCAGCUCAGGUCAGGAUCCCAGGGUCCUGGGAUUGAGCCCCGAGUUAGGCUCCCUGCUCAGCGGGGGGCCUGCUUCUCCCUCUCCCUACCCCUACCCUGUUCGUGCUCUCUCUCUCUCAAAUAAAUAAGUAAAAUCUUUUUUUUAAAAAGGCUACAAAUUACUGUAUCCAUGUCCUAGGUCUCAGAAAUACUCCUUUUCUGAACUGAGAUAAAAAUGUCCCUUGUCCCAAGGAACUUUUUAAAAAAUAUUCAAUGAAGAGAAAAUAACUAUCCUUUAUGCAGAGGAUUGAGUUCAUUGUGUACCUCGCUUGUCUUCGUUGGUCUGUAUAAGUCUCUCUCUUCUUUCUUCUUUCUCUUUUACCCCCUUCUGAUCCCUGGGCUCCCUCCCACCUAGAGGUCAGCUGUCUAACGUGGGUAUUGUAUAAAUAGAUGUAUUUAUUUUUGCUCACCAUUCUUUCGAAGUGAGUGUUGUAUGCAUCUUUCAUGAGGCCAUGCAUACCUUAUUUUUGAGAGUUCAAUGUCAGAAUGUGGGAGAAGAGUGGUGCACAGUGCCUGAUGAGGCUGGAGCAGCACCGGGGAGCGUGCAAAUAAUUUCCCCCCAAAUCUGGACUCCAGGACAUUCCUCCUGCACACAGAUGAACGCCCCCAUGAGCAAAUUGCCUCUCCAGCCUGUCCAGAGUCACCUAGACUGCUGGCAAAUGGUUUUUUCAGAGCAAGGUAAGCACUGUGGAGAACCGGAGGCUGUAUAUUUAAACAAUUAUGGGCCUCUGUGUGUCUCUGCCUCCUGCCGUACAGUCCCGAGCAAGAUGGUGUAAUAUGUGCAUUUUACAUAUCAAUGGCAGAGGAGGCUGUUUCCAGAUGGCUGUACCUAUUUCAAAGCCACCUUUUUAUGCAGAAGGAAGACUGUGUGACCUCCCUCCAAGUAAAUGUGUUUUGUAAGCCCUGGGAAUGAAUGCUUAAAAAAUGGUCCUGGGCUAUAUUUCAUGUCCAGUCCAUGGUGGUGUGUGUGCACAGCUGUUCCGGGCUGGCAUGUGGUAGCAUAUUAAAAGGAAGAUUACCAUUUCCCAUUUUUUCCCCCUUCUGAAGGCUUGAUAUGCAUAUAUGAAACUUGUGAAAAAACUCGGCAUAAUGAGACAAGGAAGCCGGGUCUCAAGGCACUAGUCGGUGCACAUCUGGAGUUUGUAGCAUUCUAGAGAUAGUUACUUAUUCCCAGGAGCCCCUGGCGGAGUGGGAAUGGUAGCCCGGUAUCCAUGGUGAGCUUCCCUAUCGCAUCGUGCCAGGUGUGUGCGUGUGUGUUAUUUCUUGGAAAGGCUGUCCUCUGAGGGGUGGGGAGGGGAGAGGACGAGAGGAGGGAAAAAAACAGAAGGGAGGUAAUUAGGCGCCACCUUGCCCAGCGGAGCCAGCUCAGGCGUCUGAAAUCAGGAGUGGGUAUUGGAGGGGCGCGGAGUCAGAUGGUGCCGGAGCCUUCUCGGCGCCUGCCAGCUCUGCGCUUGUUUCUAUGGGGACAGGACCAGGGAAGAGGAGCCCUGGGGUCAGAGGAGGCACACAGAUAACAGGACCAAGCGGGAAGGCUCUGGGAAGGCCCCUGCUACCUGCCUCCCACGCCACGUGGUGCUGGUCUGGAACUGCCCACCUGAAUUCAUGCUGGGUUUUUUUUGGCAGUUAAGAAAUUGGAAGUGUUUCAGGCCUUCUAGGCUGUUCUUUAGAACAAGCCUCUGCGGGGUAGCUUUUCUACUGGAUCUCCGAAUGGCUGGCCUUUGUAUUCCCAUGGAAUGGACAGAGAGGUGAGGGUCAGGGACCGUAGGGACCUGCCUUACCUGAGCGGGAAGCCGAGAGCGAGUCUGGGAACUUUUCCCAGGGAGAGGGUUCGUUGGAGUUUCACAGAUGCAUGGGAUUCGUGGAUUUUUUUUUUCUUUUUCCUUUUGAGCUGCAAGAUUGCGAGGUUCCAGAUGCUCUGUGUAAAACAAUGCCCCACAGGGGAAAGCCAGGGAGAGGAAGUGUGAGGUCCAGCUUGAGGCCACCCUAAAAAGGACUAUAAACAGCAGCUGCUUCUAUUGUGUGUGCCAAGCGCUGCCUGUGAGCUUAGGCCUUCUAACUCCUGGUUUCUUUCUCUGAAGCCAGAUGUGACCAACAGGAGUCUGUCAAGUCAGAGGUGGACCCCAGAUGGUGGGAAUCCGGCAAGGGAAGCAGAGGGGCUCGUGGAAGGUGUCUUGUGCCCUAGCGGGGAGAAGGCUGUCUGCCCUUUCUUGGGGGCCUUGGCCUCACCCCGCCCCGUGUCUGUGGUCCUGUCACCCAGCGCCCUAGGUCUGGCAGCUGAGGCAGAAUGGGAGAAGGGAGUCUUACUUGGCUGAUCUUCCAGCUCCGACAUGAGGCCACAGGAUGACGGCAGAGGAGUCCCCAGAGGAGCCACGGUGGGGUAAACCCCAGAUGUGGGGCAGGAAGAGGAGUCAACAAACGAGCUCAUGCCUUGGGACCCUGCAGCCCUGGGUGAUGAAACACGAGGAUGUGAGCAGGAAAAGACAGAGAUAUUUCACUCAGCCAUGCUGGCAAAGGGAUGGUCAGUUCCUCUGUUAAUAGGGAAUAAACGUCAACUUCAGAGCCUUACCUCUUCUAGU